RNAcentral lists this ribosomal RNA (253 nucleotides) under uncultured bacterium. RNAcentral's name for it is "partial 16S ribosomal RNA". It matches the Rfam family "Bacterial small subunit ribosomal RNA", at positions 524 to 776 of the family's 1533-position model. The record is from RNAcentral.
UACGAAGGGGGCUAGCGUUGCUCGGAAUCACUGGGCGUAAAGGGUGCGUAGGCGGGGCUUUAAGUCAGGGGUGAAAUCCUGGAGCUCGACUCCAGAACUGCCUUUGAUACUGAAGAUCUUGAGUUCGGGAGAGGUGAGUGGAACUGCGAGUGUAGAGGUGAAAUUCGUAGAUAUUCGCAAGAACACCAGUGGCGAAGGCGGCUCACUGGCCCGAUACUGACGCUGAGGCACGAAAGCGUGGGGAGCAAACAGG